RNAcentral lists this ribosomal RNA (1119 nucleotides) under Enterococcus sp. I2-11. RNAcentral's name for it is "bacterial SSU rRNA". It matches the Rfam family "Bacterial small subunit ribosomal RNA", at positions 56 to 1148 of the family's 1533-position model. Lineage: Bacteria; Bacillati; Bacillota; Bacilli; Lactobacillales; Enterococcaceae. The record is from RNAcentral.
UGCAGUCGAACGCUUCUUUUUCCACCGGAGCUUGCUCCACCGGAAAAAGARGAGUGGCGAACGGGUGAGUAACACGUGGGUAACCUGCCCAUCAGAAGGGGAUAACACUUGGAAACAGGUGCUAAUACCGUAUAACAAUCAAAACCGCAUGGUUUUGAUUUGAAAGGCGCUUUCGGGUGUCGCUGAUGGAUGGACCCGCGGUGCAUUAGCUAGUUGGUGAGGUAACGGCUCACCAAGGCCACGAUGCAUAGCCGACCUGAGAGGGUGAUCGGCCACAUUGGGACUGAGACACGGCCCAAACUCCUACGGGAGGCAGCAGUAGGGAAUCUUCGGCAAUGGACGAAAGUCUGACCGAGCAACGCCGCGUGAGUGAAGAAGGUUUUCGGAUCGUAAAACUCUGUUGUUAGAGAAGAACAAGGAUGAGAGUAACUGUUCAUCCCUUGACGGUAUCUAACCAGAAAGCCACGGCUAACUACGUGCCAGCAGCCGCGGUAAUACGUAGGUGGCAAGCGUUGUCCGGAUUUAUUGGGCGUAAAGCGAGCGCAGGCGGUUUCUUAAGUCUGAUGUGAAAGCCCCCGGCUCAACCGGGGAGGGUCAUUGGAAACUGGGAGACUUGAGUGCAGAAGAGGAGAGUGGAAUUCCAUGUGUAGCGGUGAAAUGCGUAGAUAUAUGGAGGAACACCAGUGGCGAAGGCGGCUCUCUGGUCUGUAACUGACGCUGAGGCUCGAAAGCGUGGGGAGCAAACAGGAUUAGAUACCCUGGUAGUCCACGCCGUAAACGAUGAGUGCUAAGUGUUGGAGGGUUUCCGCCCUUCAGUGCUGCAGCUAACGCAUUAAGCACUCCGCCUGGGGAGUACGACCGCAAGGUUGAAACUCAAAGGAAUUGACGGGGGCCCGCACAAGCGGUGGAGCAUGUGGUUUAAUUCGAAGCAACGCGAAGAACCUUACCAGGUCUUGACAUCCUUUGANCACUCUAGAGAUAGAGCUUCCCCUUCGGGGGCAAAGUGACAGGNGGUGCAUGGUUGUCGUCAGCUCGUGUCGUGAGAUGUUGGGUUAAGUCCCGCAACGAGCGCAACCCUUAUUGUUAGUUGCCAUCAUUCAGUUGGGCACUCUAGCAAGA